GACGCUGGUGGAUCACCUUAGGUCAGGAGUUCGAGACCAGCCAGAGCAACAUGGUGAAACCCCGUCUGUAAUAAAAAUACAAAAAUUAGCGAGGUGUGAUGGUGCAUGCCUGUAAUCCUAGCUACUCAGGAGGCUGAGACAGGAAAACUGCUUGAACCCGGGAGGCAGAGUUUGCAGUGAGCCAAGAUCCUGCCACUGCACGCCAGCUGGGCGACAGUGCAAGACUCUGUCUCAAAAUAAUAACCAUAAUAACAAAUGUUCAGGGUGAUGAAUGUCCUGGGAACCUUUAUUGGAUCGUUACACAUUGCAUGGAUGAAUCAGAUUACCACAUGCUCCCAAGAAACAUGUAUGAUUAUUCCGUAUCAAAUUAAAAUUAUGUGAUUUACCAAUAACUCGAAGUGGAUUGAGGGUCACCAAAUGAAAGUCAGCGUUCCAGUGCCCGCGUCCAGUGGUCCUUGGAGUUUCCAUGUUGAACAGAACCCUCCAGUAUUUCCUGAUGUGCAAGCACUAUUUUGGAUUACAUAAUCUAUUUCCUUUAUUUAUGGGGUCUAUUUUGAGUUUGCCUCCCUAGAAAAUAAAUGCUGCCUCUUUUUGAGCUUCAUGUGCACACCUUCUUUUUAUACUCUUGUUUCUUUACUCAACAUCAUGAUGGAAGGUUGGUUUGCAUUGCUCUUUGUAGAUUUUGUCUGUGCCUCUGCACGGCCUCGUAGUAUCCCUUGGUGGAAUUGAACCACAUCAUAUGAACACAUUUUCCUCUAGGUUCUGUGCUUUGUGUUCAUAGCUGUGUGUCUCUUCUUUUUUUUUUUCUUUUUUUUUUAGAUGAAGUCUCGUACUGUCACCUGGGCCGGAGUGCAAUGGCGCCACCUUGGCUCACUGCACCAACUGGCGCCAACUUGCUUCCGUCUCCCAGGUUCAAGCAAUUCUCCUGCCUCAGCCUCCUGAGUAGCUGAAAUUACAGGCACCUGCCACCACGCCCAGCUAAUGUUUUGUAUUUUUAGUAGAGACGGGGUUUCACUAUGUUGGCCAAGCUGGACUCGAAUUCCUGAACUCGUGUCCGCCCGCCUCAGCCUCCCAAAGUGCUGGGAUUACAGGCAUGAGCCACCGCGCCCGGCCAUGUUUCUUCUUUUUCACUGGGUACUUCUGAUAUUUUCCCCAAAUUGAUUCAAGUAAUUUGCAGUCCUACCAUGGAUGUAUUGGAUUUCUACGUGAGCCCUACUACCUCUGACAUUUGAUAUUGUCAUUUUCAUCAUGUGAAAUGAAUACCUCAACAUUGAUCCCUCUCUUCAGGAAUGAUCGACAGAUAGUCCAGAAAGCAUAGGCUGUA
Molecule: long non-coding RNA, 1324 nt
Filed under: Homo sapiens (human)
Lineage: Eukaryota; Metazoa; Chordata; Mammalia; Primates; Hominidae
Description: HSALNT0262185
Source: RNAcentral